This is a long non-coding RNA of Haliotis rufescens (red abalone), 1194 nucleotides long. RefSeq lists it as uncharacterized. The transcript has 2 exons. The record is from RefSeq and is a predicted model, not a curated record. NCBI's taxonomy places the organism in Eukaryota, Metazoa, Mollusca, Gastropoda, Lepetellida, Haliotidae.
UAUUUAAAUCAUUACGUAGGUUAUUUUAAACUCGUAUGUUUUCGCAUCCGCGUCUCAACCUACCCACCCUUUAGUUUGGAUUCGUCCAUCUAGACCACAAAAACAUUAAUUGCCAUGGAAGGCUGUCAGUUAGUAUAUAACAGGUAGUAUUCACAGUCGACAAUAGUUGAGUCCAUCUGAUCCCAAGGCGUUACAACAGACAAGAUGCUGAAGAUCGUUGCUGCACUCGUGUGUCUGUCUGUAAUCAGCAUGGAAGUCAACUCGUUCUCCUUGGACUCCAUCGUGAAUCAGAAGGGGAAGGACCUUUGCCAAUAUUGCUCUCUCUGUUCUUAUGCAACUGACUGUGGACCAAGUUGUAGCCACGCUUUCUGUUUCUUGUGUCCCUACGCCAGCCAUUGCACUACUUCCUGCCAGAAUGAAUGCGCUACCCGGGUUACCCAAAGGUCUCGAUCCACAGACAUUUUAGGUACCCUGUCACGUCUCAUACAAGGUUAGGAGCUUGGAACAAGGCAAGAUCUUUACAGAGAGCCCGCACUACUUGAAACAUCCCCUAACGUUACAGUGACAAGAAGGCGGUCCACCUGACGACAUGUCUGUUUUCUGUCGGCCAUGAUAAAGAUAUCAUCUGACGGUCGUUCACGGCGACACCUUUGUGUUGUUGAUCAUCGGACAUACUGCCGGUCAUCAUGAAGUAACUGUAUGACCGUCUGUCAUCGUAAAGAUACCCGUCCCAGGGAUGUACGUCAUCACGCAUAAAGAAAUAUUUUUUGCAGCCGGUCAGUAUGAAGAUAUCUGUGUGUGGUCGGUCGUCAUCAAGCUGUCCAUCAAUGUCGGUGAUGGUGAUAAUAUGGAGAUUAUAUCUACUCCAUAAGAAGAUAUAUAAAUGUCAGUCCACGUGCGUCCAAGAAUGGCGUCAUCUAAAGACACUCUAGUGCUCCACACCAACCUGACCAUAGCCUGACAACAUUCCAUCUGUCAUCAUAGUGCCUCUCUGGAAACAUUGCCACUUAACGACUAGGACUGAAUACAUCCCAACAAAGCAUCUGAUCCUUGCUCCCACCGUGUAUGUAUAUAACUGUAUUUAAGUGUCUAUAAAAGUUACACUGUAAUCUAAUGAGUAUGCAAAAUUGUCUAUACCUAGAAUUGUCCUUGUCUCUGAUGAUAUAAUGUACGUGCAAUAAAAUAUAGAACCCA